Molecule: ribosomal RNA, 388 nt
Filed under: uncultured bacterium
Lineage: Bacteria
Description: partial 16S ribosomal RNA
Rfam family: Bacterial small subunit ribosomal RNA
Source: RNAcentral
CCUACGGGGGGCAGCAGUGAGGAAUCUUGGUCAAUGGGCGCAAGCCUGAACCAGCCAAGUAGCGUGAGGGAUGAAUGCCCUACGGGUUGUAAACUGCUUUUACACGGGGAUAACACUCGGCACGUGUGCAUGUUUGUAUGUACUGUAUGAAUAAAGGUAGGCUAAUUCCGUGCCAGCAGCCGCGGUAAUACGGAGGGGCCGGGAGUUAUCCGGAUUUAUUGGGUUUAAAGGGAGCGUAGGGGGGUUGUUAAGUCAGUUGUGAAAGUCCGCGGCUCAACCGUGGAAUUGCAGUUGAAACUGGAAGCCUUGAGUGCAGAAAGGGAAGGCGGAAUUCGUGGUGUAGCGGUGAAAUGCUUAGAUAUCACGAAGAACUCCGAUCGCGAAGGCA